Molecule: ribosomal RNA, 119 nt
Filed under: Helianthus annuus (common sunflower)
Lineage: Eukaryota; Viridiplantae; Streptophyta; Magnoliopsida; Asterales; Asteraceae
Source: RNAcentral
GGUUGCGAUCAUACCAGCACUAAUGCAUAGGAUCCCAUCAGAACUCUGUAGUUAAGCGUGCUUGGACGAGAGUAGUACUAGGAUGGGUGACCCCCUGGAAAGUCCUCGUGUUACAACCC